GAUGAACGCUGGCGGCGUGCCUAAUACAUGCAAGUCGAGCGAACGGACGAGAAGCUUGCUUCUCUGAUGUUAGCGGCGGACGGGUGAGUAACACGUGGAUAACCUACCUAUAAGACUGGGAUAACUUCGGGAAACCGUAGCUAAUACCGGAUAAUAUUUUGAACCGCAUGGUUCAAAAGUGAAAGACGGUCUUGCUGUCACUUAUAGAUGGAUCCGCGCUGCAUUAGCUAGUUGGUAAGGUAACGGCUUACCAAGGCAACGAUGCAUAGCCGACCUGAGAGGGUGAUCGGCCACACUGGAACUGAGACACGGUCCAGACUCCUACGGGAGGCAGCAGUAGGGAAUCUUCCGCAAUGGGCGAAAGCCUGACGGAGCAACGCCGCGUGAGUGAUGAAGGUCUUCGGAUCGUAAAACUCUGUUAUUAGGGAAGAACAUAUGUGUAAGUAACUGUGCACAUCUUGACGGUACCUAAUCAGAAAGUCACGGCUAACCACGUG
Molecule: ribosomal RNA, 497 nt
Filed under: uncultured bacterium
Lineage: Bacteria
Description: partial 16S ribosomal RNA
Rfam family: Bacterial small subunit ribosomal RNA
Source: RNAcentral